This 1468-nucleotide ribosomal RNA is filed under the name Providencia rettgeri. RNAcentral describes it as "partial 23S ribosomal RNA". It matches the Rfam family "Bacterial large subunit ribosomal RNA", at positions 1 to 1396 of the family's 2925-position model. Lineage: Bacteria; Pseudomonadati; Pseudomonadota; Gammaproteobacteria; Enterobacterales; Morganellaceae. The record is from RNAcentral.
GGUUAAGCGACUAAGCGUACACGGUGGAUGCCUAGGCAAUCAGAGGCGAUGAAGGACGUGCUAAUCUGCGAUAAGCGUCGGUAAGGUGAUAUGAACCGUGAUAACCGACGAUUUCCGAAUGGGGAAACCCAGUGCAAUUCGUUGCACUAUCGUUUGAUGAAUACAUAGUCAAACGAAGCGAACCGGGGGAACUGAAACAUCUCAGUACCCCGAGGAAAAGAAAUCAACCGAGAUUCCCCUAGUAGCGGCGAGCGAACGGGGAGCAGCCCAGAGUCUUAAUCAACAUUAGCAUCAGGAGAACGGUCUGGAAAGGCCGGCAGUAAAGGGUGAUAGCCCCGUAUCCGAAGGUGUUAGUGUUGUGAACUCGACGAGUAGGGCGGGACACGUGUUAUCCUGUCUGAAUAUGGGGGGACCAUCCUCCAAGGCUAAAUACUCCUGAUUGACCGAUAGUGAACCAGUACCGUGAGGGAAAGGCGAAAAGAACCCCGGCGAGGGGAGUGAAAUAGAACCUGAAACCGUGUACGUACAAGCAGUGGGAGCCCCACCACCAAAGCAUUUUCUGGUGUUGAGGACAACUUUGAAGUGACAUUCAACACGCGUUGGCGGAGCGUUUUUUGCGACGCCGAACACACAAAACAAGCAGUGAAUGUGCUUUGGGGUGGGGUGACUGCGUACCUUUUGUAUAAUGGGUCAGCGACUUAUAUUCUGUAGCAAGGUUAACCGUAUAGGGGAGCCGUAGGGAAACCGAGUCUUAACUGGGCGAAUGAGUUGCAGGGUAUAGACCCGAAACCCGGUGAUCUAGCCAUGGGCAGGUUGAAGGUUGGGUAACACUAACUGGAGGACCGAACCGACUAAUGUUGAAAAAUUAGCGGAUGACUUGUGGCUGGGGGUGAAAGGCCAAUCAAACCGGGAGAUAGCUGGUUCUCCCCGAAAGCUAUUUAGGUAGCGCCUCGUGAACUCAUCUUCGGGGGUAGAGCACUGUUUCGACUAGGGGGUCAUCCCGACUUACCAACUCGAUGCAAACUACGAAUACCGAAGAAUGUUAUCACGGGAGACACACGGCGGGUGCUAACGUUCGUCGUGAAGAGGGAAACAACCCAGACCGCCAGCUAAGGUCCCAAAGUCAUAGUUAAGUGGGAAACGAAGUGGGAAGGCUCAGACAGCCAGGAUGUUGGCUUAGAAGCAGCCAUCAUUUAAAGAAAGCGUAAUAGCUCACUGGUCGAGUCGGCCUGCGCGGAAGAUGUAACGGGGCUAAACUAUGCACCGAAGCUGCGGCAGCGAUAUGUAAAUAUUGUUGGGUAGGGGAGCGUUCUGUAAGCCUGUGAAGGUGUGCUGUGAGGCAUGCUGGAGGUAUCAGAAGUGCGAAUGCUGACAUAAGUAACGAUAAUGCGGGUGAAAAACCCGCACGCCGGAAGACCAAGGGUUCCUGUCCAACGUUAAUCGGGGCAGGGUGAGUCGACCCCUAAGG